Non-coding RNA from Paramuricea clavata, 73 nucleotides. The record is from the annotation of a GenBank genome assembly. Lineage: Eukaryota; Metazoa; Cnidaria; Anthozoa; Malacalcyonacea; Plexauridae.
GAUCGCGUAGCUCAGUUGGCAGAGCAUUGGGCUAGUAUUCCAAAAGUCGUAGGUUCGAUUCCCACCGUGGCCA